Molecule: unclassified non-coding RNA, 2229 nt
Filed under: Portunus trituberculatus (swimming crab)
Lineage: Eukaryota; Metazoa; Arthropoda; Malacostraca; Decapoda; Portunidae
Description: uncharacterized LOC123513130, transcript variant X2
Source: RNAcentral
AUCCUGUUGUUCCGUCAUGGCAGAUCAGAGCCAGAGUCACGAGACGCCGAGGCGUUCCUCGUCUUCCUCAGACAGAAAACGUCAGAGACGUGAGGAAGCUCUCCCUUGUGAGGCAUCUAAGAAACGCAAGGAUGACGCUGGCUUUGUUCAACAGCAGGGUGACGAUGGUGCGCCGCCGCCGGCUGUUGCUGGGCCGAGCCAUAGUGUAAAUAGUGCUUCCACGGGUGAAGGUUACGACCGUUUGAGCUGCCUUUUGAAUAGUUUAAUAGAGAAACUGGAGAAAAACACCGAGACUACUGCUUCCCAGAGCGGGUUUGGUGGUUUUCAUGACCUUUCUCGUCUGAGGGCGAGGAUGGUGAGAUUCCUGAGUGUUUGCCAGACCCUUUGGAUGAUCUGGACGCUUUUGGUUCCGCGCAGCAGAGUGGUACAGACGCCGACAGUGCAGAGUUUCUCCAGGCAUUAGACGAGUUUUCUGGCAUUUUUCAGGGUGAAGAGAAGUAGGGCGAGCCCUUGUCGGACCGUCUUGCCUCUAUUCUAAAUGCUAGCCUUCGCCGUCGCCCCUCUACUGACGGCGUGAAAACAGUGUGCAGCAGGAUCAAGAUUCCCAACAAUGUGCCUAAUUUGACUGUUCCUGUGACAAACGCAGCUGUUACCAAAGCCAUGGGUGUUGGUGGUAAGCUUUUAGACACCAGGCUCUGCCAUACCAAUGGCGUGCUAAUCAAGGCCUUGGUUCCCAUUGCACGGUGUGUUAACGAUAUUGGGGAGAAGACAGGGAAGCCCAUCACCUCGUAUUUGAGUGAUUUAAAUGACAGUCUUCGCCUUUUGACUUCCGCAGUUAAUUACUUAAACCAAUUACGAAAGGAAGUUGCACGUAUUCAUGCCAAUGAUUCUGCUUUAGCCGAGCUAUGCAAGUGGGAAUGCGAGGUAGGGAAAGACGACCUGUUCCCCUUUGAUGUCAUUAAGAAGUGUGACGAUAUUCUCCGAUCCAGAAGGCUGGGCAGGCCUGCUUUCCGACCCUACAAGUACGGCAGGGCCAGGAGACAUGCUGCUCUUCCCAGACAAGACAACAGGAAGCCCCACUACCCCCAGUCCAGACACAGGACCGCACAGAGGCCUUUUUAGGCCACAGGGCGUCCCAGGGGAGAGGGACGCAGGGCUACAGAGUUCCCCAGUAACUCCACAUCCGGUCUGCUUCAUCUAGCGAAGCUGCCUUGUCCCUGCCUCUUUCCACCAUCCUCUCCACUGUGGGUUGGUCCAGUGCAUCAACCUUCGCAAAGUACUACCAGAGGCUUGUCACGAAACAGGGCCUCUGUGCGAAAGCUGUCUUGCCUAGUUAGAUAAUGCUCUUAUUUUGCUCUGUUUUUUGUAUACUAUGUAUUGUGCAGACAUGUACGAGGUACUUAAUGUUUUUUGGGUGCGCAUAAUGCGACAUUUUUCUUUUUUCUUUUUUGUUACCCAUGUAAAUUUUUUCAUGUUGGGAUUAUGGUCUGCCGAGUACAUGCCAUUGAUGCUUUGCUUUCUGUUUGUGUGCUUGUUUUUUCUAAAUAAAUGUCCUUUUUGGGGUUUACUGGUAUACUCAUUUUUCUUUACCUACGAAGUUUGGUUUGGUAGGUUUGAGGAAUUACUCUAAAGCUCUCGUUGACUACCUCGUGACGUCAGUUAAAUGGCUUGUUGAAGUGAAAUUGUAAGAUUAAGCGAGUACUUACCGGUACGAAGAUUGAUCGUAAUUUCACGAAUGCCAUUUAACUGCGUCACUGAGGUAUUAAACGCCCGCCCUACCCUUCCCUGUUCCUUCGUACUCUUACGUUGUAGUUCGUCUCUUCCUCAAACCUCCUUUGAAUGACUGACGGGAGACUGGCGCCGCAUGCAUCUUGUUUAAUACCUCAGUGACGCAGUUAAAUGGUUAAAUGGCAUUCGUGAAAUUACGAUCAACCUUCGUACCGGGAAGUACUCGCUUAAUCUUACAAUUAGUAACUCUUUCAACCCUUUGUCCAUUAAGCAUCAGAACUCUGUCAGUCACAUCUCUUGAUUGGAAUUUGGUCUUACCUACAUUCACCACUAACCCCAGACGUAAGCACAAGUAAUCAAGUUCAGCAAGUGCCCGAGUCAUAACCCUUUCAUUAACACAUUGCAGCAGGAUGUCAUCAAGACUUGAGUGCCAUGAGGAAAAGUGUGUCUACCUAUUUGAUCCAUUAAUAUAUUGAAAAGUGUUGGACUUAAAACAUCACC